RNAcentral lists this long non-coding RNA (853 nucleotides) under Homo sapiens (human). RNAcentral's name for it is "HSALNT0174426". The record is from RNAcentral. Lineage: Eukaryota; Metazoa; Chordata; Mammalia; Primates; Hominidae.
AAAAUGGUGAGAUAUGACCUUCCUGGUACAGUCCGCUGGAAAAAGAGAAGAAAGCCUCGGAUGGGCAUGAGUGCAACUUUCUAAAUACAGUGUGCAGUGAUCAGUUCCCAAGGAUGGUUCUUACAAGGAGAAAAUCCAGAAACUAUCAAUUGGCUACCUUGAUGUGAUCCUCUUCAUGAGGAAGCUUGGACUUCUCCCUGCUUCACAGAUGGGUUACGAGAUAGUCCAGAGAAGCUGCAUUCUAAGAAGCAUUAUGACCUGUCUUCUUAGAAACAACACGGCAUCACUUUUACCACAUUCUUUUGGUCACAAGGAGAGGGAAUUACACAUCACCUGAUUUUGGAUGCAUGUGUGAGGUAUGCUACUGUACUCACAAGACAUCUGAAACUAUACCCAGAUCAUCUAGAAGUGAACAUGUUCCAGGUGAUGUCCCUAUGUAAACCAAGGGUUGGUUUUCAGUGGGUAGAAAAUGCCCUUCAAACACUGACCCUGUCAUAUUGCAGAUGCCUUCAGGUAAAAAGUCAAUUAACCACUGGUGGGCAAUAUCCAAAAUUGAUAGCAGAAACAGAAAAAUAAAAGACUACUCAGCAAAGACAAGUAGAGUGUAAGCAUCACAUAGGCUGGAAACUUUGUUUGCUGUUUUCUGUUUGUUUGUGUCCGUUCUCUUCUGUAUCCCAAGCAUCUGGAAUGAGGACUGGCACAUAGCUAUUGUUCAAUAAAUGCUUGUUGAUAAAUAAAAAUGCUGGAAUUAUUUGACUUCUCUUUAUCAACUGUAGGCAACACCAAACUUGUAUGCAGGAAAGAAAGAUAUAGGAUUAAUGAAAUGAAGAAUUUGGGGAUGGUUUACUCUAAC